RNAcentral lists this ribosomal RNA (218 nucleotides) under uncultured bacterium. RNAcentral's name for it is "partial 16S ribosomal RNA". It matches the Rfam family "Bacterial small subunit ribosomal RNA", at positions 1282 to 1500 of the family's 1533-position model. The record is from RNAcentral.
UAAGUCUCAGUCCGGAUUGAAGGCUGAAAUUCGCCUUCAUGAAGCCGGAAUUGCUAGUAAUGGCAGGUCAGCAUACUGCCGUGAAUACGUUCCCGGGCCUUGUACACACCGCCCGUCACACCAUGAGAGUUGGGAAUACCCGAAGCCUGUGAGCUAACUUUUAGAGGCAGCAGUCGAAGGUAGAAUCAAUGAUUGGGGUGAAGUCGUAACAAGGUAAC